This 195-nucleotide long non-coding RNA is filed under the name Monodelphis domestica (gray short-tailed opossum). RNAcentral's name for it is "lncRNA (ENSMODG00000040750.1)". The record is from RNAcentral. Lineage: Eukaryota; Metazoa; Chordata; Mammalia; Didelphimorphia; Didelphidae.
AAGAAACCUACCUUGGAAAAAGCAAGAUGAAUGUUUUCACUUCUUUUUUUCUCUUCCUCAAGAUCUUGACAAUCUAUCAUAUUUAUAUUUAAACCUGUUCUCCAGUAAUAGAAAUUCUGCCUUCAGAUGCUACCUUUUUGGUAAGUGGUUAAUUUCUUAAAUUAUUUUUUUCAGUUUUAUAUACCUCUCCUUCCU